Molecule: ribosomal RNA, 492 nt
Filed under: uncultured bacterium
Lineage: Bacteria
Description: partial 16S ribosomal RNA
Rfam family: Bacterial small subunit ribosomal RNA
Source: RNAcentral
AGUGAACGCUGGCGGUAGGCCUAACACAUGCAAGUCGAACGGCAGCACAGUAAGAGCUUGCUCUUACGGGUGGCGAGUGGCGGACGGGUGAGGAAUACAUCGGAAUCUACUUUUUCGUGGGGGAUAACGUAGGGAAACUUACGCUAAUACCGCAUACGGCCUACGGGUGAAAGCAGGGGAUCUUCGGACCUUGCGCGAUUGAAUGAGCCGAUCUCGGAUUAGCUAGUUGACGGGGUAAAGGCCCACCAAGGCGACGAUCCGUAGCUGGUCUGAGAGGAUGAUCAGCCACACUGGAACUGAGACACGGUCCAGACUCCUACGGGAGGCAGCAGUGGGGAAUAUUGGACAAAGGGCGCAAGCCUGAUCCAGCCAUACCGCGUGGGUGAAGAAGGCCUUCGGGUUGUAAAGCCCUUUUGUUGGGAAAGAAAAGCAGCAGGUUAAUACCCCGCUGUUCUGACGGUACCCAAAGAAUAAGCACCGGCUAACUUCGUG